UACGUAGGGACCGAGCGUUGGCCGGAUUCAUUGGGCGUAAAGAGCUCGUAGGCGGCCACUCAAGUCGAAUGUGAAACCUCGAGGCUUAACCUCGAGCCUGCAUUCGAUACUGGGCGGCUAGAGUCUGGUAGGGGGAUCUGGAAUUCCUGGUGUAGCGGUGGAAUGCGCAGAUAUCAGGAGGAACACCGGUGGCGAAGGCGGGAUCCUGGGCCAGUACUGACGCUGAGGAGCGAAAGCGUGGGGAGCAAACAGG
This 253-nucleotide ribosomal RNA is filed under the name uncultured bacterium. Its description in RNAcentral is "partial 16S ribosomal RNA". It matches the Rfam family "Bacterial small subunit ribosomal RNA", at positions 524 to 776 of the family's 1533-position model. The record is from RNAcentral.